GUUUUCUGAGACUGCAUCCACUUUGAUAGUUUCUACUGAGUCCAAAUUAGAACAUCCCAGCUGGUGGGCUGUCUCCCAGGAAGCCCUCGGAGAGGAGCGGUGCAUAGGGGGCACCUGGACACAGCCCACCUCCCCCGAGUAGCGUCAGGUAGGCUUGUCUAUCUACAUCCUUUCGCCCUUUCUCAGGAAACUAUCAGAUGAUGUGCUCCCCCAGAUGAAGAAGUAGUGCCAGGAAAAAGGAGACACGGGAUACAGGGAUCCUGAAGCCGGCGGAGGACAAGGGAGCUCCUGGGAGGACAGCUGUGCUCCGGCCUAGCAAUAGCGAGCAGCUGGUCCAGACUGCCGCCGUGACUCAGAAGAUAGACAUGCGGAGGGUUAUGAUCACAGAGCAACGAUGGUCCUUGUACAUGAAGAUAAAAAUGCUCAGGUGUGCCCAGGUUGAAGAAGAUGAAAGGCCCUGCCUCCCAGAGCGCCCGGGGACACUGGUGAUCUCUUCCAGGUCUGUUUCCACCCACUGCAGCUGUGAUGGAAUCUUGCUCUGUUGCCCAGGCUAGAAUGCAGUGGCGUGAUCUUGGCUCACCAAAAAUUCUGCCUCCUGGGUUCAAGUGCCUCCACACCCAGCUAAUUUUGUAUUUUUAGUAGAGACGAGAUUUCACCAUGUUGGCCAGGCUAGUCUUGAACUCCUGACAUUGUGAUCCACCCACCUCAGCCUCCCAAAGUGCUAAGAUUACAGGUGUGAGCCACCAUGCCCGGCCUACCUGGAGCAUUAUUAAAACCUUAAACCUUUAA
RNAcentral lists this long non-coding RNA (789 nucleotides) under Homo sapiens (human). Its description in RNAcentral is "non-protein coding lnc-NVL-1:3". The record is from RNAcentral. Lineage: Eukaryota; Metazoa; Chordata; Mammalia; Primates; Hominidae.